UACGUUGGGUGCGAGCGUUAAUCGGAAUUACUGGGCGUAAAGCGUGCGCAGGCGGUUUUUCAAGUCUGAUGUGAAAGCCCCGGGCUUAACCUGGGAACUGCGUUGGAAACUGAAAGACUAAAGUGCGGCAGAGGGGGGUAGAAUUCCACGUGUAGCAGUGAAAUGCGUAGAUAUGUGGAGGAAUACCGAUGGCGAAGGCAGCCCCCUGGGUCGACACUGACGCUCAUGCACGAAAGCGUGGGUAGCAAACAGG
This 253-nucleotide ribosomal RNA is filed under the name uncultured bacterium. RNAcentral's name for it is "partial 16S ribosomal RNA". It matches the Rfam family "Bacterial small subunit ribosomal RNA", at positions 524 to 776 of the family's 1533-position model. The record is from RNAcentral.